GAGGGAUGGUUCAGUGGUUAAGAGUACUGACUGUUCUUCCAGAGGACCUGGGUUCAAUUCCCAGCGCCCUCA
Molecule: non-coding RNA, 72 nt
Organism: Cricetulus griseus (Chinese hamster)
Lineage: Eukaryota; Metazoa; Chordata; Mammalia; Rodentia; Cricetidae
Source: Rfam